Molecule: long non-coding RNA, 1280 nt
Filed under: Homo sapiens (human)
Lineage: Eukaryota; Metazoa; Chordata; Mammalia; Primates; Hominidae
Description: HSALNT0260265
Source: RNAcentral
GAUUCCAUCACCAAACAAUCAGCAGUACUUAUUUUUUAGUCCUGUGCUCCUGAAACUACCCUUGAAUAUCUCUAACCCCUGAUCCACUGGGGAGGCUGAUUUGAGAGGCCAGAAGAACUUGCCUGGCAAUUAUGAGUGGAUGGAGGAACUGCCUAUCCCUGUCCCAUUGUCUUGUCCACAGGUCAGCCUCACAAAGGGAAAGAGCCCUGGAUGGGAAUACAGUGGAAGCUCAUUCUCUUAGUGACCUGGGGACAUUGGCUCGAGAUGAAGCCUGGCAGGAGUGGCAACUCCAGGUUUGGAUGCCUAAGAAGAGAGGUUUUGAGCCAAUAAAUGACUAUGGGGUGCUUGGAAGCCAGUGAGCCCUCACUUCUGGUGGAGGAGAGGAUGAGCCUGUGGCUGCGGACACACCUCAUGUGACCCUGAUCUCCCCUUUGUGAUUGUGUGACUCUGGCUCAGGGACUGUGUCUUCCUGUACCUCAGUUUUCUGUCAAUCAGAUAAGCUAAAUGGCAAAUGGACAGUGGCUUUUCAUGCUAUCUGUGAAUAAAUGUUAAAUGAUUCACAGUCACCUGACCUAAUGCUUGGCACAGUGGAGGUUUCACACAAAUAGCAUUUAUUAUUAAUUUGCUUCCAUGAGAAAGCCCCUUUGCGUCAGAUCCCUGUGGGCAAGCUGCUACCAGGUACAUCUUCUCUCUUGUGUUUCUGCUUCUGGGGACAUUAGACUUUCUAUGGACUGGCCUAAGCCUCCUAAGGCAGUUGUCUGAUGGCCUACAAAGCUUGUCUUUCUGUCCUCUCCACUCUGAGUGUCAGGUGAAGAAAACUCUGUCCUUGCCCAGAUGAGGCUCUGAGGGCUGAGCCCUGGCUGGUGAACAGCUCCAGGAGACACAGUCCUCUGACAGCUGGUAAAUCCUCGGUCCCAGUAAGCCCUGCCCAAGAAGCCACAACCCAGCCCCAGCACAGGCUCCUCAGAUUUAUCUGGAGCAAGGAUUUAGGGACACUGUUCUGGGGGUGAGGCUUCUAGGGCUGAGCUUCUCUGAGAGUAUCUCAGGGGCUCCUCAGGCCAAGCCCUACUCAGUUCUCCAGGGUCUUUCUCAGGGUCAAAUUUAUGAAGAGGGCAUGAGGUGCUUGUCUGAGACUGAUCUCCUCCUGCUGAGUCCCCCCAUCAGACUGUCCUUCCUCUGCAGCGAGUGUCUGCAGGGUCUGGAUGCGGGAAAGGAAUUCUGAUCUGUUGAAAUUUGUCUCCUCUGUGUGUGUCCUGCACUAAAUGCCCAAACCCCAGCAU